GGUGAACGCUGGCGGCGUGCCUAAGACAUGCAAGUCGAGCGGGGCAGGUUUAUAGCUGGUCAGCGGCGGACGGGUGAGUAACGCGUGGGUGACCUACCCGGAAGAGGCGGACAACCUGGGGAAACCCAGGCUAAUCCGCCAUGUGGUCCUGUCCUGUGGGGCAGGAGUAAAGGGGCGACCCGCUUCCGGAUGGGCCCGCGUCCCAUCAGCUAGUUGGUGGGGUAAAGGCCAACCAAGGCGACGACGGGUAGCCGGUCUGAGAGCAUGGCGGGCCACCGGGGCACCGGGGCACGGGCACCACUCCUACGGGAGGCAGCAGUUAGGAACCUCCCGCAAUGGACGGAAGGCUGACGGAGCGACGCAGCUCGGAGGCGGAAGACCUUCGGGGUGUAAAAUACUGAACUCGGGACGAAAGGCCGGUGUAGGGGGAUGACGGUACCCAGGUAAUAGCGCCGGCCAACUCCGUG
This 467-nucleotide ribosomal RNA is filed under the name uncultured bacterium. Its description in RNAcentral is "partial 16S ribosomal RNA". It matches the Rfam family "Bacterial small subunit ribosomal RNA", at positions 28 to 507 of the family's 1533-position model. The record is from RNAcentral.